AUACUGAAAGUAUUUACCUUGUACAGCUGCCUUCCAAGCAGAAAGACCUCUGUAGGUCAGUAUAC
RNAcentral lists this transfer RNA (65 nucleotides) under Sinosolenaia oleivora. RNAcentral describes it as "tRNA-Gly". Lineage: Eukaryota; Metazoa; Mollusca; Bivalvia; Unionida; Unionidae. The record is from RNAcentral.